This 363-nucleotide ribosomal RNA is filed under the name uncultured bacterium. RNAcentral's name for it is "bacterial SSU rRNA". It matches the Rfam family "Bacterial small subunit ribosomal RNA", at positions 32 to 369 of the family's 1533-position model. The record is from RNAcentral.
AAUCAACGCUGGCGGCGUGCCUCAGACAUGCAAGUCGAACGCGAAAUUUCCCUUCGGGGAGAAAGUAGAGUGGCGCACGGGUGAGUAACACGUAGGUAAUUUGCCUUUGGGUGGGGAAUAACUCAGGGAAACUUGAGCUAAUACCGCAUAAUGCAGCGGCUCGACAUCGAGACAGUUGUUAAAGCGGGGGAUUGGAGUAAUCCGACCUCGCGCCUAAAGAGAAGCCUGCGGCAGAUAGCUAGUUGGUAAGGUAAUGGCUUACCAAGGCUACGAUCUGUAACCGGCCUGAGAGGGCGGUCGGUCACACUGACACUGACAUACGGGUCAGACUCCUACGGGAGGCAGCAGUCGGGAAUUUUGGGC